GCACCGCAGAGGAGUCCCAUACUAGGACGAAACGGCCGUCCAGUAC
This is a non-coding RNA of Schistosoma haematobium, 46 nucleotides long. The record is from Rfam. NCBI's taxonomy places the organism in Eukaryota, Metazoa, Platyhelminthes, Trematoda, Strigeidida, Schistosomatidae.